Mangifera indica (mango) is the source of this 350-nucleotide long non-coding RNA. RefSeq lists it as uncharacterized. The record is from RefSeq and is a predicted model, not a curated record. The transcript is spliced from 3 exons. Lineage: Eukaryota; Viridiplantae; Streptophyta; Magnoliopsida; Sapindales; Anacardiaceae.
GGAACCUCUCUCUCUCCUCUUCCUUUUCUUGGUAUGUAGAUUUAGGGUUUCCGCCAAGUUUUCUUGUUUUUCUUUGAAGUUUCGUUUCUUGAGUUGAGUCUUGGCACUUUUCAGCUAUUUUUAUUGAUUUGGAAUUACAUUUUGAAGGAAACUACAUUUUUUCUGUUUUGACUACCACCUAAUUGAACACUUGCUCCAGAGGACCUUAAGACAUAGCUCUUUUUCACUACCGAGAUGACAAGAAAUAUUGCAAAGGCAGCAAGAAGACUAACAGCUCAAUCUUCCCAAGAAACUGGAAAAACUAUAUCCAUUUUGGAUAUCAGAUGGAAUGCCAGGUUACAAAUCUGUGU